CUGCUACCAGCGCGGACUGUUUCAGUGAAAGUCGUUCUCGCACACAAACCAACACGCUCUCUCGUAAAGCCAAGCCUCUUUUCAGGCCCCUAUACACUGAUUCUCUUCUCUUUCUUCUGUUCCUUUCUCUUCAAUUCCAAUUCCUGUUCCAGUUCCUAUCAAAUUCUCAAUCAUUUCAGGUACCAAUUCCCACUGUUUUCCAAUUUUUCUUUCCCCCCUCUACACAACUGUUUCUGAUCACUUUCUGAUUUUUGAUUAUUCAUUUGUGAGUUCAGAUGGAUUUAAUAUUUUGUGAAAUUUGUGUUUCCCUUUAUGGGAUUUGCUGGUUUUUAAUUUUGAUUGAUUGCUAAUUCUUUUAUGUGAAUUUUACAGCUGGGAUUUGUUAGGUUUUUAUUGGGAUUUUUAAUCCAUGGUUUUUGACGUUGCUUUAAUGGUUUUUAACUUUUUAUUGGGUGGCUCUGUUAUGCUUUUUGGAUUGUUUUAAUACAGUUAUACGUUUUGCUCUAAUGGUGGAUAGCUGGUAGCAGCAUAAGUGAGUAUAAUUUUAGAUGGAUAUUGGAAAUAAUAUACAAGGAUAAUGGGAGGUUGCUGCUGUUGUUCCUCCAAGGGAGCUGAACUUAAUACUGCUCCGGCUUGUUAUUAUUACCCCAGAGCAUCAGAAGAGCAUGUCCCACUAUCAUCUCGUCAUGGUGCUGUUUCUGCCCUCUCCACGGGACUGUUGGUUGAUACAAACCUUGACACAUCGGUCCCUGAUGCAUACAGGCCACCUCCUCCACCUAUGCCAUUUGAUGUGGCUUUAGGAUGUGCUCAAACUCCACAAGGGGCUCAGGAAAUUUCCAGUGACAAAGAUGAUGGAGCAGUGCAAACAACAAAUUCUGAUUCUGUUCAAGAAACUACUGGCAUCAAUACUCGAGAAACAUCAGCUAAGUGUGAAGAUAUGAAGGGUUCAGACUGUAAAGCACAAACUAAUUUGGAGCUCGAUUCAGUAAAGGAGCUAGAAGUUGAGCUCCAAAAGUCGGUUGAACCUCUUAUUUCAGCAACAGAGGAGGAGGAUGUUUGUCCCACCUGUCUGGAAGAGUAUGAUGCAGAGAAUCCAAAAAUUACCACAAAAUGUGAGCACCAUUUUCACCUUGCAUGCAUUCUUGAAUGGAUGGAAAGAAGUGACACCUGCCCAGUCUGUGGCAAGGUGAUGUUAUUUGAUGAAACGACUUAAUCUUUGUUUGUGCGUUUGUGUUGUGGAUGAAGCCAGCAACAACAGGGGAAGAAAGAAAACCAUAAGGAGACUUGUAGAGUUCAUUGUGAAUAUUGCAGGUUAAAGUGUUUGUUUUCUAUGGUAAAUAUUGAAAAUAGUUAAAAAAUAUGGUUUCUUCAAAAUGCCCUUCAAACAUUUUUCAUCAAUAUGAAUGGCAAUCUGCUUAUAGCUUUGUCAAAACAUGGCUUGAGCUUUGGUAUGUUUUGUGCUUCUAUUUUCAGUCUUGAUGCUCUGGUUCAUGUUACCUAGUUUCUUCAGGAUUCUAUCUGUUUGCAAAUAAUUAAGAAAACAAAAUAGGUCUCAACU
Molecule: unclassified non-coding RNA, 1558 nt
Filed under: Hevea brasiliensis (rubber tree)
Lineage: Eukaryota; Viridiplantae; Streptophyta; Magnoliopsida; Malpighiales; Euphorbiaceae
Source: RNAcentral